GACAGAGGGUGCAAACGUUGUUCGGAAUUACUGGGCGUAAAGCGCGUGUAGGCGGCUUGGCAAGUCGGGUGUGGAAGCCCUGGGCUCAACCUAGGAAGUGCACUCGAAACUGCUUCGCUUGAGUGUCGGAGAGGAAAGCGGAAUUCUCGGUGUAGAGGUGAAAUUCGUAGAUAUCGAGAGGAACACCGGUGGCGAAGGCGGCUUUCUGGACGAUAACUGACGCUGAGACGCGAAAGCGUGGGGAGCAAACAGG
Molecule: ribosomal RNA, 253 nt
Filed under: uncultured bacterium
Lineage: Bacteria
Description: partial 16S ribosomal RNA
Rfam family: Bacterial small subunit ribosomal RNA
Source: RNAcentral